Serinus canaria (Common canary) is the source of this 2707-nucleotide long non-coding RNA. RefSeq lists it as uncharacterized. Lineage: Eukaryota; Metazoa; Chordata; Aves; Passeriformes; Fringillidae. The transcript is spliced from 2 exons. The record is from RefSeq and is a predicted model, not a curated record.
AGGAUGAAGAAACUCUGCUCUGACUUGAUACUCUUGACCUUUGCUUCCCUACCCUGUAACCAAGGGAUCAGCCUGAUUCAACCCUUCCAAAAAACAAAGCCUCAACCCAGUGAAAGAUGACCCCAAAUAUCUUUCAGUGACCAUCAUCCCAGUGGCUGGCUCCAAGUGAAAAAGCUCAUUUCACAACAUCUUACAAGAUGAAACUCCAAAACCACUCCAAAGCUAAAGGAAUUGCAGUUGGAAGAGGCCAGUUGUGAAAUUUUCACCGUGAGGUAUUUCCUAAGAGCUCUGCAGAGUUAACUGUGAAAUUAAUUUUAUCAGGCUGAAAGGGAAAUAGAUGGGAGUCACACUGGGGUUAAAACUCAGCAGUUUUCUCCUCUAAAGGUGGCUGGUGUCAGGGCAGCUGGGUCUGUACAACUCAUCAGCCUUGGAGGUGGGAAGGACACAUCCCAGCACUGACAUCCCUUCAGCUUUUCCUGCAGCUCAUUUCAGACCUGGGACUAUCUGUUUGCCCAGAAUAAGAGCAUUUCCAUGGCCUGCACACGCUGUGACCUGCAGUCUGAUCUCCAGCAACAGAAUCAUCCACGUGUGAACUCUCCAGAGCUCCAAAAGCCCAUGGCAGCAGCUGUAGGUCAGAGGUUGUGCUGCUCACAAGGUACAAAAAAAGGACAAAGAACUCCACAACCCAGAAAUUCCUGACCUUAAGUCAGACAACAGGGAAAAAGAGUUUGGAAGGAGGAUUUGGUCAGGGGUGUGACAGUUUCACCUCACCAAUGGCAAUGCCAUCUCCUUCCCAGACCCUCUCAACAUGUGUCUGUCUCAUCCUCAUGGACAUUUCCCUGUUCCCAGCACUACAGAGUGGAUGAGGGAGGAAGCAGCAAGUGAACCAGCUCUGCUCAGCAGAAAGGAAAUUCUGGACAGACAAAAUCAGCAGCAAGUUCAACUGGAAGGUGCUGGGAGCAGGAGCAGAGCAAAAGGAACAGCUGAUCCUGCUGCAAGGCCUUUUGCUCUGCUGGACAUUCACACAACCACGACCAUUCCCAAACUACAUCUGCAGGCUGUGCUCAUUCUUUACUCACUCUAAAAGGCAUAAGAAGAAAAGGAAGGCCCUGGAGUGGGCUACAGUGUUGUGUUCCAUUCUUGAUACAGCUAAGAAGUCUCCUACAGAAUAUCUGGGCCAGAGACUUUAAGGUCCACUUUGAACUUUUGGUAGAUUUUCCCUCAUCAAGACCAAAAUUCAAAAUUCAAACCAAGGAGUUCCUACCUCCAGCCAUCAGGUAACCCAGUAAAGAGAGAGAUGUGGAAAUAGGAGAUGUUGCAUUUUUAAUCAUAAUUUCUACUGAGUUCUACAUUAUGGUGUUGAAUAAUCCUGGCUUUAACCUUGUCAGGAGAGCUGUCCACCCCUGACAGUGAAAAGGCAUCAUCUCCUGCUCUCCUCAUCCCUCUCCUUACUGCCAUGCAGGAACUCACUGCAUGAGUUUUAAUUCUGCAGGUUUUCAUUCUGAUCUCAUCUCAAUGAGGAUGAAAAAUCUGCAGGAAGUCUGCCACUGUUGUGCACAAAGUACUGAUGAAGACUCAAAGCUCAUUCAGUGCCAGAUGAUAUUUAAAUCUCUGCUUCAGAGAGACUGUUUCUUCUGGAGAACACAGCCUGUCCCUCAGUGGAUCACUGUGGCAGAGUCAGUCCCAACCCACAAAGAACAGACUCCCAGCACAUGACUCAAGUGAAUGAGGAGCUCCUCACCCUCUCUAAGGAAUCCAAGCUUUUAUUACAUCAAAGCAGCUGGAGGCAACCUGAAAUACUCAAAGGUGCACCUAGACAGAUUUAAAGCUCCCCCCCCACACUUGCUGGCUCUCAGUGCUUGCUGAGUCGUGGUAGCACCUGUUUGGUGAAGAUAUCCUUCUUUAAUUUGUGCUGCUGAACUGCUGCUUGCCUGCAGCACCUACGUGCUCCCUCCCUGAGCACUCAGACCACGAGCAGUCAUCCCCAACUCUGAAAAUACUCCUCUGAACUUGCCCCAGUCAGGAGCCAACUGCACAUUUGCCAGACAGGUUUCUCACCACAAGAACUGAAGACACUUGCUGCUGGUCUCUCCAGGCUCCUCCUCCAUGCUGAGUCACACUCCAGCUGCCUUACCCCAGCACUCCAUGCUAAAACAAUGGGAAUGCUCCCUCAGAGCACCCAUUUCCCACGCAGGCUGCACAACUCCCCAUUACCACUCACCUCCUAUUUUUCAUAAUCUCAGUGUGCUUUACAGACAUUAAGCCAAGCUUAUUUAUACGCUAAUAUUUCCUGGUUCCCACACCAGAUAAUUCCUAAAAGAAGCCGGGAGCAGAACCAGAAGACUACAAAGCAACGCUUAGACUUGUUAGCAUGAAAAAGGGUUUUGGAAGUGGGUGUACAAGGAGCAGACUAAUGAGACGUCUGUGCUGAGGAAAGAAGAUUACAGAGAGACUGCAGGCAUUGCAAGGCUCUGUGGUGUGACAUGGGAAUGCCUGGAUCCAUCCAGGAAGGUGGAAAAUCUGUGAUACCUUCCUGCAGCUGACCAGCACCACCGCACUCGAGUCCUGCACCCCGGAGUCUGGCACCCCCACACUGCUGAUGGUCCUGAGCAGGGGAUGAUGAGUGGGUCACUCCCAGCUCCAUGGAUUCCCAGCACUUAAGGCUAUGUCUUUCAUCCCUAUUAAAAUAAAAUUCCCGUCUCUCUUG